Sipha flava (yellow sugarcane aphid) is the source of this 621-nucleotide long non-coding RNA. RefSeq lists it as uncharacterized. The transcript is spliced from 4 exons. The record is from RefSeq and is a predicted model, not a curated record. Lineage: Eukaryota; Metazoa; Arthropoda; Insecta; Hemiptera; Aphididae.
AAAAAAAAUGUUCAGUAUAUUUAAUAGCCUGACAAAAAAACAUUACCACCAACUAGGGACAACGAAGACUUUGCAGUGGAUGAUCCAAGUCCAAUAAAUAAUAAAAUUAAAAUUAAUAAUUCGUCAGUACCUGAUGAUCUUAACAAUAUUCAUCCCGAGUAUUCUGAAAUUGCAUUAAAUGACUCGUUUCUGCUAGACUUAGAGAACUUGGAAACAGGACCAAUUUAAAUUAAAUUAAACAGUGGUAAGAAUUGUCUCUACCAUCAAUCAACGCUUAUGCCGGCAGUCCUCUACUGAAAUGACAAAAGAAAUGUCGUCAUCAUCUUGGAUCAUUUAUGCGACUUGAAUGAACAUGAAGUUAACAAAUUGACUGAAGGAUAAUAAUAAAAACCGAACUAAAUUUAUUCACAGGAAGACAUUAAGACACGUUGGGGAACUUGGAUGGAAGCUAUAAUAUGUGUAUAUUUUCAAUUUAUUAAAAUAUUAAUCGUUGGAUUUGAAGAAAACGAUGACAUAGCUAUCAAAAAAGUGCGAAAUCGAAUGGCAGAAGAAAUGUAAUCAAAUUUGAUAUUUAUAAAAGCCAACUAUAUAAAUAUAAUAAUAAAAAUAGUUAUGGAAAGG